This 735-nucleotide ribosomal RNA is filed under the name uncultured bacterium. RNAcentral's name for it is "bacterial SSU rRNA". It matches the Rfam family "Bacterial small subunit ribosomal RNA", at positions 28 to 776 of the family's 1533-position model. The record is from RNAcentral.
GACGAACGCUGGCGGCGCGCCUAACACAUGCAAGUCGAACGAGCGAGAGAGAGCUUGCUUUCUCGAGCGAGUGGCGAACGGGUGAGUAACGCGUGAGGAACCUGCCUCAAAGAGGGGGACAACAGUUGGAAACGACUGCUAAUACCGCAUAAGCCCACAGCUCGGCAUCGAGCAGAGGGAAAAGGAGUGAUCCGCUUUGAGAUGGCCUCGCGUCCGAUUAGCUGGUUGGUGAGGUAACGGCCCACCAAGGCAACGAUCGGUAGCCGGACUGAGAGGUUGAACGGCCACAUUGGGACUGAGACACGGCCCAGACUCCUACGGGAGGCAGCAGUGGGGAAUAUUGCACAAUGGGGGAAACCCUGAUGCAGCGACGCCGCGUGGAGGAAGAAGGUCUUCGGAUUGUAAACUCCUGUUGUUGAGGAAGAUAAUGACGGUACUCAACAAGGAAGUGACGGCUAACUACGUGCCAGCAGCCGCGGUAAAACGUAGGUCACAAGCGUUGUCCGGAAUUACUGGGUGUAAAGGGAGCGCAGGCGGGAAAGCAAGUUGGAAGUGAAAUCCAUGGGCUCAACCCAUGAACUGCUUUCAAAACUGUUUUUCUUGAGUAGUGCAGAGGUAGGCGGAAUUCCCGGUGUAGCGGUGGAAUGCGUAGAUAUCGGGAGGAACACCAGUGGCGAAGGCGGCCUACUGGGCACCAACUGACGCUGAGGCUCGAAAGUGUGGGUAGCAAACAGG